This 497-nucleotide ribosomal RNA is filed under the name uncultured bacterium. RNAcentral describes it as "partial 16S ribosomal RNA". It matches the Rfam family "Bacterial small subunit ribosomal RNA", at positions 28 to 507 of the family's 1533-position model. The record is from RNAcentral.
GAUGAACGCUGGCGGCGUGCCUAAUACAUGCAAGUCGAGCGAACAGACGAGGAGCUUGCUCCUCUGACGUUAGCGGCGGACGGGUGAGUAACACGUGGAUAACCUACCUAUAAGACUGGGAUAACUUCGGGAAACCGGAGCUAAUACCGGAUAAUAUAUUGAACCGCAUGGUUCAAUAGUGAAAGACGGUUUUGCUGUCACUUAUAGAUUGAUCCGCGCCGCAUUAGCUAGUUGGUAAGGUAACGGCUUACCAAGGCAACGAUGCGUAGCCGACCUGAGAGGGUGAUCGGCCACACUGGAACUGAGACACGGUCCAGACUCCUACGGGAGGCAGCAGUAGGGAAUCUUCCGCAAUGGGCGAAAGCCUGACGGAGCAACGCCGUGUGAGUGAUGAAGGUCUUCGGAUCGUAAAACUCUGUUAUUAGGGAAGAACAAAUGUGUAAGUAACUAUGCACGUCUUGACGGUACCUAAUCAGAAAGCCACGGCUAACUACGUG